UAUAUUUACUAUAAAGAGUCAAGCCUGCCCAGUGAUUUUAUUUAACGGCCGCGGUACUCUGACCGUGCAAAGGUAGCAUAAUCAUUUGCCUUAUAAUUAAAGGCUAGCAUGAAUGGUUUAACAAGAAUGGUACUGUCUCAUAUAAAUUUUAUAGAAUUUGGUUUUUAGGUGAAGAAACCUAAAUAAUAUUGAAAGACAAGAAGACCCUAUCGAGCUUAAAAUAAUUUUCUUGAAACUUUGCUAUACUAGAUUCAAGUAAAAAUUUUGGUUGGGGCGACUAAGGAACACACAAAGCUUCCUAUAAAACUUAUAAACUUUUAUGUUUUGAUCCAAAAAUUUUGAUUAACAGAAUUAGUUACCGUAGGGAUAACAGCAUAAUCUUUUUUGAGAGCUCUCAUCGAAAAAAAGGUUUGUGACCUCGAUGUUGGACUAGGAUAUCCAGAAAGGUGCAGAAGCCUUCAAUGGUUGGUCUGUUCGACCA
This is a ribosomal RNA of 481 nucleotides. It matches the Rfam family "Bacterial large subunit ribosomal RNA", at positions 1835 to 2587 of the family's 2925-position model.